RNAcentral lists this ribosomal RNA (776 nucleotides) under Enterobacteriales bacterium symbiont of Basilia (Paracyclopodia) sp. RNAcentral describes it as "bacterial SSU rRNA". It matches the Rfam family "Bacterial small subunit ribosomal RNA", at positions 431 to 1200 of the family's 1533-position model. The record is from RNAcentral. Lineage: Bacteria; Pseudomonadati; Pseudomonadota; Gammaproteobacteria; Enterobacterales.
UACUUUCAGUCGUGAGGAAGGUGUUAGGGUUAAUAACCUUAGCAAUUGACGUUAGCGACAGAAGAAGCACCGGCUAACUCCGUGCCAGCAGCCGCGGUAAUACGGAGGGUGCGAGCGUUAAUCGGAAUUACUGGGCGUAAAGGGCACGCAGGCGGUUAAUUAAGUUGGAUGUGAAAUCCCCGGGCUUAACCUGGGAAUGGCAUUCAAGACUGGUUAGCUAGAGUCUUGUAGAGGGGGGUAGAAUUCCAUGUGUAGCGGUGAAAUGCGUAGAGAUGUGGAGGAAUACCGGUGGCGAAGGCGGCCCCCUGGACAAAGACUGACGCUCAUGUGCGAAAGCGUGGGGAGCAAACAGGAUUAGAUACCCUGGUAGUCCACGUUGUAAACGAUGUCGAUUUGGAGGUUGUGGUCAGGAACUGUGGCCUCCGGAGCUAACGCGUUAAAUCGACCGCCUGGGGAGUACGGCCGCAAGGUUAAAACUCAAAUGAAUUGACGGGGGCCCGCACAAGCGGUGGAGCAUGUGGUUUAAUUCGAUGCAACGCGAAGAACCUUACCUACUCUUGACAUCCAGNGAAGCUUUUAGAGAUAGAGGCGUGCCUUCGGGAACUUUGAGACAGGUGCUGCAUGGCUGUCGUCAGCUCGUGUUGUGAAAUGUUGGGUUAAGUCCCGCAACGAGCGCAACCCUUAUCCUUUGUUGCCAGCGAUUAGGUCGGGAACUCAAAGGAGACUGCCGGUGAUAAACCGGAGGAAGGUGGGGAUGACGUCAAGUCAUCAUGGCC